AUUGAACGCUGGCGGCAGGCGUGACACAUGCAAGUCGAGCGAGCGGCGGACGGGUGAGUAAUGUCUGGGAAACUGCCUGAUGGAGGGGGAUAACUACUGGAAACGGUAGCUAAUACCGCAUACCAUCAGAUGUGCCCAGAUGGGCUUAGCUAGUAGGUGGGGUAAUGGCGCACCUAGGCGACGAUCCCUAGCUGGUCUGAGAGGAUUACCAGACACACUGGAACGGAGAAACGGGCCAGACUCCUACGGGAGGCAGCAGUGGGGAAUAUUGCACAAUGGGCGCAAGCGUGAUGCAGCCAUGCCGCGUGUAUGAAGAAGGCCUUCGGGUUGUAAAGCAAUUUCAGCGAGGAGGCGUUACUCGCAGAAGAAGCACCGGAUAACUACGUGCCAGCAGCCGCGGUAAUUC
This 406-nucleotide ribosomal RNA is filed under the name uncultured bacterium. RNAcentral's name for it is "partial 16S ribosomal RNA". It matches the Rfam family "Bacterial small subunit ribosomal RNA", at positions 30 to 526 of the family's 1533-position model. The record is from RNAcentral.